RNAcentral lists this ribosomal RNA (440 nucleotides) under uncultured bacterium. RNAcentral describes it as "partial 16S ribosomal RNA". It matches the Rfam family "Bacterial small subunit ribosomal RNA", at positions 338 to 795 of the family's 1533-position model. The record is from RNAcentral.
CCUACGGGUGGCUGCAGUGGGGAAUAUUGCACAAUGGGGGAAACCCUGAUGCAGCGACGCCGCGUGAGUGAAGAAGUAAUUCGUUAUGUAAAGCUCUAUCAGCAGGGAAGAAAAUGACGGUACCUGAGUAAGAAGCCCCGGCUAACUACGUGCCAGCAGCCGGGGUAAUACGUAGGGGGCAAGCGUUAUCCGGAUUUACUGGGUGUAAAGGGAGCGUAGACGGCAGUGCAAGUCUGGAGGGAAAGGCGGGGGCCCAACCCCCGGACUGCGCUGGAAAAUGUACGGCUUGAGUGCAGGAGGGGUAAGUGGAAUUCCUAGUGUAGCGGUGAAAGGCGUAGAUAUUAGGAGGAACACCAGUGGCGAAGGCGGCUUACUGGACUGUAACUGACGUCGAGGCUCGAAAGCGUGGGGAGCAAACAGGAUUAGAUACCCUGGUAGUC